This 481-nucleotide ribosomal RNA is filed under the name uncultured bacterium. RNAcentral's name for it is "partial 16S ribosomal RNA". It matches the Rfam family "Bacterial small subunit ribosomal RNA", at positions 28 to 507 of the family's 1533-position model. The record is from RNAcentral.
GAUGAACGCUGGCGGCGUGCUUAACACAUGCAAGUCGAACGAAGCACUUUAUUUGAUUUCCUUCGGGACUGAUUAUUUUGUGACUGAGUGGCGGACGGGUGAGUAACGCGUGGGUAACCUGCCUUGUACAGGGGGAUAACAGUUGGAAACGGCUGCUAAUACCGCAUAAGCGCACGGCAUCGCAUGAUGCAGUGUGAAAAACUCCGGUGGUAUAAGAUGGACCCGCGUUGGAUUAGCUAGUUGGUGAGGUAACGGCCCACCAAGGCGACGAUCCAUAGCCGACAGGAGAGGGUGACCGGCCACAUUGGGACUGAGACACGGCCCAAACUCCUACGGGAGGCAGCAGUGGGGAAUAUUGCACAAUGGGCGAAAGCCUGAUGCAGCGACGCCGCGUGAGCGAAGAAGUAUUUCGGUAUGUAAAGCUCUAUCAGCAGGGAAGAUAAUGACGGUACCUGACUAAGAAGCACCGGCUAAAUACGUG